AGCAGCCGCGGUAAUUCCAGCUCCAAUAGCGUAUAUUAAAGUUGCUGCAGUUAAAAAGCUCGUAGUUGAAUUUCGGGACUAAUAUGUUGGUCGUGCCUCGGUACGUACUGAUAUUUUUGGUUUCUCCCUUCUGACGAACCUUGAUGUCAUUAAUUUGGUGUCUUGGGAAAUCAGGACUGUUACUUUGAAAAAAUUAGAGUGUUUAAAGCAGGCUCACGCUUGAAUACAUUAGCAUGGAAUAAUGAAAUAGGACGUUUGAUUCUAUUUUGUUGGUUUCUAGGAUCGACGUAAUGAUUAAUAGGGAUAGUUGGGGGCGAUUAGUAUUCAAUUGUCAGAGGUGAAAUUCUUGGAUUUAUUGAAGACUAACUACUGCGAAAGCAUUUGCCAAGGAUGUUUUCAUUAAUCAAGAACGAAAGUUAGGGGAUCGAAGACGAUCAGAUACCGUCGCAGUCUUAACCAUAAACUAUGCCGACUAGGGAUCGGAUGAUGUUAAUUUUUUAAUGACUCAUUCGGCGCCUUA
RNAcentral lists this ribosomal RNA (520 nucleotides) under uncultured Glomus. RNAcentral's name for it is "SSU rRNA". It matches the Rfam family "Eukaryotic small subunit ribosomal RNA", at positions 569 to 1090 of the family's 1831-position model. The record is from RNAcentral. Lineage: Eukaryota; Fungi; Glomeromycota; Glomeromycetes; Glomerales; Glomeraceae.